Cephus cinctus (wheat stem sawfly) is the source of this 3943-nucleotide long non-coding RNA. RefSeq lists it as uncharacterized. NCBI's taxonomy places the organism in Eukaryota, Metazoa, Arthropoda, Insecta, Hymenoptera, Cephidae. The record is from RefSeq and is a predicted model, not a curated record. The transcript has 3 exons.
AUAUUGAGUCAGGACACCUUGACGAAGGUUCACGAUGUGCCGCCACAUGUGAUAUCGGCUAAAUCCAGCCGCGUUAUACUAUUUAUUUCUAGGCGAUUCGAGGUAAAAAGUCGUCUAGCCUUUCGCGAAUCCGGCCGAUCGCAUCCUGCAACCGAGUGCUCGAGGCCUUGCGAAAUUUUCUAUCUUUUUUUUUCUUCCUCUUCUUUCUUCUCUCUUUCUCCUCGGUUCACUCGUGCGCACAGAAAGAAAGCAAACGCAUCUGCGUCGCGGUGAGAAAUCUGCACUGUCAAUUAUGCACUAAUCAACUGUCAUUAGAUAUACCGAUUACCUUGUUUUGAAUAUCAUCAAUCCUUAUCGAUCAUACUCAAUUACUUUAUAUGAAGAUACAUGUACCUCUGCCUUCCGCAUAAGAAACCAAGUGAUCAUCAAUUAGCUUUUGGUAGUUUUCUCUUUAACCAAUUCCGUAUAGGUGAGGAUCAAUUAACGGAAUCGCCAUGAUAACUCGAUAAUUAACUAAUUGCACGCAACGCAUCGUUACCCAGAUUAAAAAUUCUUUCCCACCACGAAUCUGCCCAAUACACUUUAUGAUCAAUUCAUGGUAAUUUAACCGAUUAAUUAGACAAUGAGGAACGAACAUGGUCGGUAAGUUAAGAAAGUAUACGUUCACGGGGUACGGUGCAAUUUAAAGAAAGUUGAAAAGAUACAAACAAAAGAUAAAUCCACAAAGUUUCUGAAGUUCUUCAAGGUAUCUAAUAGAAACAGGAAGAAUUUUCUCACCCGGAAGGUGACACCUACACCGUCGUCGAUAAUCUGGAACGUGACAUACGUCUACGGGAAGCCUCAUUGCACCACUGAGGAAACUAGAACUGGACAAAAACUAACCCAAUAUCGUGUCCGAUACCAGGAACCCACGCUAGAUACAUUCAUCCUUCCUGAAGUAGCAGUAACAGUAGCGGAGCAGCAAUAGUAUACUUAGAACCAAUCACUAUAGCGUAUCGCAUAAUAAACCACAAGGAUUUCCGCUCGGAGAUUCUUAACCUAAAAAUCCUCGGAUUCAAUCCGGAAGCAAGAUACAGUGCUUCGGAUAUUAACUGAAGCUACGUCACUUCCUUGUUACAAAUUCAGCAUAAGUGUCACGUUUGUAAAAGUAGAGAAAACACUGUCGUACCAUAGAACCAAAAGAAACAGAGUAUCUUUGCAGGUAAGGAGAUUCAUUGCAAGUUUGUACUAGCGCGAGCGCCAUCUGUCGUCUUUAUUAUGAACACUGAUUUCGAGGUGCUUUCACACUCUUCAAGACGCAAUUACGUAUAUCCACGAUCCUUACGUGCGGUUACUUUUCUCUAAGGAAUAGGACAUCCAGAAGCCCAUGAUUGGCUAAGCUGCAAUACUCAGACUGCAUCGCGCUGACAAACAGACAAAGAAACGAUCUCGAGGGUAACACGAGUUGUCUCAAUGCUACGUGAGUUCCAGAAACACACUGACGGCUUACCGAUUCCCCGUAGUCGAUCGCGACGGCUCUCGAUCCUGAAGUCAGUCGCCGUGUCCCUUGUCCGGCAUGCCGAACGCUUCCUGUCCGGUGAAUUCCAUGAGACUUUUCUCAAUACCAGAUGGAGCUGUCGAAGAUGUUAAAUUGCGGAACGCUAUCAUGGAUUCGAGAGCCAAGAGAACGUGAUGGCUCGCGACCCAUUUUCCGUACGUUUUCAUAUUCGCAAACAUUCCUCUCACGCCUAACAGUUUUUGAAGCUGGUUUACGGGCACCACGGUCUUAGGACAUACCCUGGUACUCUUUGGAAAUUCCUUGCAGUGCCGGUCCCUCGUCUUCUUGGUGCGUGGUGGCGUAUGCUAGAGCGCGGAGAGAGAGGCGAGGACACAGUGUGGGAAGGAGAAUCAGAAGGGAGAUACUCCUCAGCGUGAGGUCGUAUCGAUUAUGGAUCGGCAAAGCCUCUUUCCAAUUAAUUUUCACAUUCACCAACCGUCUCACGGAGUGCGGGCACCGUAAGCGACGAACGGGACAGGAAUUUCUGUGUAAGACCCUGGGAAGAAGAGAAGAAAGAGAAAGAGAGAGAAAAAAUCAAAAAGACUAUGCACUGCCUACACUCUGUGUGCAUAAGUGUAUAUGCAUAUUUAUGCGUUGGGCCAAUGGAGACGUGGUCGUUUAGAGUGAUUUGGGGCCUGACAGGUAUGCGUCGCGAAAGCGUCACAGAAGGCUUAGCCCAUUGAUUUUUGUAUAAGGCCACCUUUUUCAUUUUGAGUUUCAUGGAGUCAGGAUAAUGUAUCGUAUAAUAGCGUCAGCGUUGCACGAUAAGAAUGUUAAUACGAUUUCACAUCGGAGAUACCUAUUUGGGGCUCAACUCUAUGUAGGUCCCACGUCGAAAAGGAGAGCCGAAAGCAUUACGCAGGGCGAGGAAAGCAUUCGCGGCGUCCGGGUGCGCCGACCUAGGAAUUUUUGCAUAUAAUUUCUCGGGCCCCGGGACACGUACCGAUGCGAAAUUAUGCGUGCGGCAAGUGUCACGCCUUUAGGUUUUAUUUGUUACAAGUAACGCGUAGGAUAGUUACACACUUCGGUAGAAUUGACUGCGAUUACGUAUGCAAUGGUGUUUGGGCCUUAUUACGUAGAUUUUCAUUAUAUGCAGACUGUAAAUCGUUAAUGUCUGUAGUAAGAGGAUUUUGGGCCCAACUCGGUCGGCAUACGCUCCCAUGAGUCCCAUCCACCCGCAGUCACGAUCUCGAUGUGCAUCUGAUGAUUCCCAUAAACAAGCGAGGGCGCGAUACACGCAGAAGGCGGCUUUGGGCCUCUCAUUACUUCAGCCUGGGCCCGGGCCUCAUAUCGGACGCAUCUAUCUGGAGCACCCAGAUAUAGGUACGUUACUACAGGGUGAUCGUAAAGUUCUCUACAGUCUCGUCUGCGUAACUAAAAAAUGAAAAAUUCUAUAAACCCACCACUCGUUCGCCAUCUCUUCAAUUAGGCUGGUUCAAUUAUUCACCUUGUCGCUUCGUUGUACGUGCACCUCUAUGUUCUCCUCCCUCUGCCACCAGGACACGGUCUCCAAUUAGUCACUGUGAUGAAUUAUUUUUUAUUCAGCUAUUUCCGUCCCACGCUCGUGAUCCGGAUGGUACCCACCCGAUCUAACCAAGCCAGGACACUUUUCAUACAGCUCGUAGUACUUUCGGUGGGCCCUUUCAAUUGGUCCUAUCGGAGUUACCCGAAUGAUUAUUUCCAGCGAUCGAUUAUAGAUAGCUCGUCUGGUCCUGCCAGCCGGUUGACAGAAGAUCGCCCAGCAGCCGGUUAUUGCCCCAGCCACGUCCUCGUUUGCCGGAGGUCUCCUUUUGGUUAAGGUCAAGGAUAACGCAAUUUUCGUUACGUCGAGAGGUCGCCAGGAUGUAAGAUUUACAAUUAGAUUGAAUUUCAUUGGUAUAUGACAUAGUUAAAUAGCCGAAUAUAAUCAUUUGGUUGAUAUCGAUCUUCGUGAAAGAAACACCCGGAGAAAUUUUGGUACAAGUUUGAAGUAGAAAAUAUUUGUUGGCAGGCAACGCGUUAUUUUUAAUAUAAAGAUAUGUGUAAUUGAUUAUUUAUUAAGAUUGAACUUUUACUUCAAGAAUUAUAUUUAACGUCUAUAACUAUUUUAAAAGAAUAUUGUAAAUGCUUUUUUUUUUUGAACAAUGAUGGCACAUACGAACACAACCCUAUGUAUAACGAGUAUUAUUGUAGUGCCGGUAUUUAGGGGAUUCUCCUAUUUAUAUUUAUCUAUAGAAUUUUCCAUUUCUUUCUCCAUUAUCGACUGUAGGUAACCGUAAGUGCGAAUGACGGAAUCACCAUUGCCAUCUAGCAGCUCGCGCAGAACUCGAUGAGUAAUUGUAACCAGGGGUAACCAGAGAGUGAGGGGAGCGUUGAUGACAGUGCCUGCACUCGGAGCACUCAUUCUUCCUCGAGCCGGUCUCCUAU